RNAcentral lists this ribosomal RNA (253 nucleotides) under uncultured bacterium. Its description in RNAcentral is "partial 16S ribosomal RNA". It matches the Rfam family "Bacterial small subunit ribosomal RNA", at positions 524 to 776 of the family's 1533-position model. The record is from RNAcentral.
UACGAAGGGUGCAAGCGUUACUCGGAAUUACUGGGCGUAAAGCGUGCGUAGGUGGUUCGUUAAGUCUGUCGUGAAAGCCCCGGGCUCAACCUGGGAAUGGCGAUGGAUACUGGCGGGCUAGAGUGCGGUAGAGGAGAGUGGAAUUCCCGGUGUAGCAGUGAAAUGCGUAGAGAUCGGGAGGAACAUCAGUUGCGAAGGCGGCUCUCUGGACCAGCACUGACACUGAGGCACGAAAGCUAGGGGAGCAAACAGG